Molecule: long non-coding RNA, 321 nt
Filed under: Numida meleagris (helmeted guineafowl)
Lineage: Eukaryota; Metazoa; Chordata; Aves; Galliformes; Numididae
Description: lncRNA (ENSNMEG00000018623.1)
Source: RNAcentral
UAAGGAUAGCAUGUGGGAAAUGCAGGAAAGACAGCAGAUGAUCUGUGUUAAGAUGAGAUCUGUUUGCCACUACCACCUAGCUCAUCACGUCCAUGUUGGAGAUAAAACUGAUUUCAUCUUGCUCUGAAGCUCCAAGAUACACCAAAACAAUCCUAAAAAAGUCAGAAUUUGUGCUAUCCCAAUCUGCCUGAUCUACAUCUCUACAAGAAUUUCUUUCAAAUAUAAAAUAUCCAUCACUGUAGUGAUUGCAAUAUAGAAAAAAAUAGUAAUAUGAUCAUAAAUUAGUAUUUUUGUCUGAAUUUGUAAGAUAUUGGACAAAAA